AUUGAACGCUGGCGGUAUGCUUAACACAUGCAAGUCGAACGGUAACAGGCCUUCGGGCGCUGACGAGUGGCGGACGGGUGAGUAACGCGUAGGAAUCUGCCUCAUAGUGGGGGACAACGUGGGGAAACUCACGCUAAUACCGCAUACGCCCUACGGGGAAAGCGGGGAUCUUCGGACCUCGCGCUAUGAGAUGAGCCUGCGUUAGAUUAGCUAGUUGGUAGGGUAAAGGCCUACCAAGGCGACGAUCUAUAGCUGGUCUGAGAGGACGAUCAGCCACACUGGGACUGAGACACGGCCCAGACUCCUACGGGAGGCAGCAGUGGGGAAUAUUGGACAAUGGGCGCAAGCCUGAUCCAGCCAUGCCGCGUGAGUGAAGAAGGCCUUCGGUUGUAAG
This 394-nucleotide ribosomal RNA is filed under the name uncultured bacterium. RNAcentral's name for it is "bacterial SSU rRNA". It matches the Rfam family "Bacterial small subunit ribosomal RNA", at positions 30 to 429 of the family's 1533-position model. The record is from RNAcentral.